GACGAACGCUGGCGGCGUGCUUAACACAUGCAAGUCGAACGGAAAGGCCCUGCUUUUGUGGGGUGCUCGAGUGGCGAACGGGUGAGUAACACGUGAGUAACCUGCCCUUGACUUUGGGAUAACUUCAGGAAACUGGGGCUAAUACUGGAUAGGAGCUCCUGCUGCAUGGUGGGGGUUGGAAAGUUUCGGCGGUUGGGGAUGGACUCGCGGCUUAUCAGCUUGUUGGUGGGGUAGUGGCUUACCAAGGCUUUGACGGGUAGCCGGCCUGAGAGGGUGACCGGCCACAUUGGGACUGAGAUACGGCCCAGACUCCUACGGGAGGCAGCAGUGGGGAAUAUUGCACAAUGGGCGGAAGCCUGAUGCAGCAACGCCGCGUGCGGGAUGACGGCCUUCGGGUUGUAAACCGCUUUCGCCUGUGACGAAGCGUGAGUGACGUAAUGUAAGAAGCCCCGCA
Molecule: ribosomal RNA, 454 nt
Filed under: Cutibacterium acnes
Lineage: Bacteria; Bacillati; Actinomycetota; Actinomycetes; Propionibacteriales; Propionibacteriaceae
Description: bacterial SSU rRNA
Rfam family: Bacterial small subunit ribosomal RNA
Source: RNAcentral